GCGAAGAGCAGCUGGUUAGGUUACCUGGCUCAAAACCAGGCGGUCGGAGGUUCGAAUUCUCCAGGACGCGCCA
This 73-nucleotide transfer RNA is filed under the name Vibrio parahaemolyticus. RNAcentral describes it as "tRNA-Leu". It matches the Rfam family "tRNA". Rfam says of the family: Transfer RNA (tRNA) molecules are approximately 80 nucleotides in length. Their secondary structure includes four short double-helical elements and three loops (D, anti-codon, and T loops). Further hydrogen bonds mediate the characteristic L-shaped molecular structure. tRNAs have two regions of fundamental functional importance: the anti-codon, which is responsible for specific mRNA codon recognition, and the 3' end, to which the tRNAs corresponding amino acid is attached (by aminoacyl-tRNA synthetases). tRNAs cope with the degeneracy of the genetic code in two manners: having more than one tRNA (with a specific anti-codon) for a particular amino acid; and 'wobble' base-pairing, i.e. permitting non-standard base-pairing at the 3rd anti-codon position. The record is from RNAcentral. Lineage: Bacteria; Pseudomonadati; Pseudomonadota; Gammaproteobacteria; Vibrionales; Vibrionaceae.